Long non-coding RNA from Gadus macrocephalus (Pacific cod), 467 nucleotides. RefSeq lists it as uncharacterized. The transcript is spliced from 2 exons. The record is from RefSeq and is a predicted model, not a curated record. NCBI's taxonomy places the organism in Eukaryota, Metazoa, Chordata, Actinopteri, Gadiformes, Gadidae.
AGCUGUUCUAGUCUCUACUGUGAGCCCCCUAGAGGCCGUUAGAGGAACUACACGUUCGUCUCACUUGCCUUUAGUACACAGGAUUCAGAAGUCGUACCAGAGAUAGUGUAGGGAUGUCGGAGUUGCUGAGGGACGCAAACGGUUGAGUUAGUUGAUUGGUGUGUGUGUGUGUGUGUGUGUGUGUGUGUGUGUGUGUGUGUGGAGAGGCAGGAAGUGCACCUGUAUCAAGAACAGGCCCCAGGUGGCCUUCCCCCUCCUCUUCCUCGUACUCUAAUGAGAGAGAGGGAGAGGGGGAGAGGGAGAGAGAGGGAGAGAGAGGGAGAGAGAGGGAGAGGGAGAGAGAGGGAGAGAGAGAGAGAGAGAGAGAGAGAGAGAGAGAGAGAGAGAGAGAGAGAGAGAGAGAGAGAGAGAGAGAGAGAGAGAGAGAGAGAGAGAGAGAGAGAGAGAGAGAGAGAGAGAGAGAGAGA